GACGAACGCUGGCGGCGUGCUUAACACAUGCAAGUCGAACGGAAAGGCCCUGCUUUUGUGGUGUGCUCGAGUGGCAAACGGGUGAGUAACACGUGAGUAACCUGCCCUUGACUUUGGGAUGACUUCAGGAAACUGGGGCUAAUACCGGAUAGGCGCUCCUGCUUCAUGGUGGGGGUUGGAAAGUUUCGGCGGUUGGGGAUGGACUCGCGGCUUAUCAGCUUGUUGGUGGGGUAGUGGCUUACCAAGGCUUUGCCGGGUGGCCGGCCUGGGAGGGUGACCGGCCAAAUGGGGACUGGGAUAGGGCCAGAACUCCUACGGGAGGAAGCAGUGGGGAAUAUUGAAAAAUGGGCGGAAGCCUGAUGCAGCAACGCCGCGUGCGGGAUGACGGCCUUCGGGUUGUAACCCGCUUCCGCCUGUGACGAAGCGUGAGUGACGGUAAUGGGUAAAGAAGCACCGGCUAACUACGUG
Molecule: ribosomal RNA, 468 nt
Filed under: uncultured bacterium
Lineage: Bacteria
Description: partial 16S ribosomal RNA
Rfam family: Bacterial small subunit ribosomal RNA
Source: RNAcentral